Molecule: microRNA, 21 nt
Filed under: Haemonchus contortus (barber pole worm)
Lineage: Eukaryota; Metazoa; Nematoda; Chromadorea; Rhabditida; Trichostrongylidae
Description: hco-miR-40c
Gene: hco-miR-40c
Source: miRBase by way of RNAcentral
UCACCGGGAGUUCUGUGGUGA